GAUGAACGCUAGCUACAGGCUUAACACAUGCAAGUCGAGGGGCAGCAUGGUCUUAGCUUGCUAAGGCCGAUGGCGACCGGCGCACGGGUGAGUAACACGUAUCCAACCUGCCGUCUACUCUUGGACAGCCUUCUGAAAGGAAGAUUAAUACAAGAUGGCAUCAUGAGUCCGCAUGUUCACAUGAUUAAAGGUAUUCCGGUAGACGAUGGGGAUGCGUUCCAUUAGAUAGUAGGCGGGGUAACGGCCCACCUAGUCUUCGAUGGAUAGGGGUUCUGAGAGGAAGGUCCCCCACAUUGGAACUGAGACACGGUCCAAACUCCUACGGGAGGCAGCAGUGAGGAAUAUUGGUCAAUGGGCGAGAGCCUGAACCAGCCAAGUAGCGUGAAGGAUGACUGCCCUAUGGGUUGUAAACUUCUUUUAUAAAGGAAUAAAGUCGGGUAUGGAUACCCGUUUGCAUGUACUUUAUGAAUAAGGAUCGGCUAACUCCGUGCCAGCAGCCGCGGUAAUACGGAGGACCCGAGCGUUAUCCGGAUUUAUUGGGUUUAAAGGGAGCGUAGAUGGAUGUUUAAGUCAGUUGUGAAAGUUUGCGGCUCAACCGUAAAAUUGCAGUUGAUACUGGAUAUCUUGAGUGCAGUUGAGGCAGGCGGAAUUCGUGGUGUAGCGGUGAAAUGCUUAGAUAUCACGAAGAACUCCGAUUGCGAAGGCAGCCUGCUAAGCUGCAACUGACAUUGAGGCUCGAAAGUGUGGGUAUCAAACAGGAUUAGAUACCCUGGUAGUCCACACGGUAAACGAUGAAUACUCGCUGUUUGCGAUAUACUGCAAGCGGCCAAGCGAAAGCGUUAAGUAUUCCACCUGGGGAGUACGCCGGCAACGGUGAAACUCAAAGGAAUUGACGGGGGCCCGCACAAGCGGAGGAACAUGUGGUUUAAUUCGAUGAUACGCGAGGAACCUUACCCGGGCUUAAAUUGCAGAUGAAUUACGGUGAAAGCCGUAAGCCGCAAGGCAUCUGUGAAGGUGCUGCAUGGUUGUCGUCAGCUCGUGCCGUGAGGUGUCGGCUUAAGUGCCAUAACGAGCGCAACCCUUGUUGUCAGUUACUAACAGGUUCCGCUGAGGACUCUGACAAGACUGCCAUCGUAAGAUGUGAGGAAGGUGGGGAUGACGUCAAAUCAGCACGGCCCUUACGUCCGGGGCUACACACGUGUUACAAUGGGGGGUACAGAGGGCCGCUACCACGCGAGUGGAUGCCAAUCCCCAAAACCUCUCUCAGUUCGGACUGGAGUCUGCAACCCGACUCCACGAAGCUGGAUUCGCUAGUAAUCGCGCAUCAGCCACGGCGCGGUGAAUACGUUCCCGGGCCUUGUACACACCGCCCGUCAAGCCAUGGGAGCCGGGGGUACCUGAAGUGCGUAACCGCGAGGAGCGCCCUAGGGUAAAACUGGUGACUGGGGCUAA
Molecule: ribosomal RNA, 1452 nt
Filed under: uncultured organism
Description: SSU rRNA
Rfam family: Bacterial small subunit ribosomal RNA
Source: RNAcentral